RNAcentral lists this ribosomal RNA (156 nucleotides) under Clusia fluminensis. RNAcentral describes it as "5.8S ribosomal RNA". It matches the Rfam family "5.8S ribosomal RNA". Rfam says of the family: 5.8S ribosomal RNA (5.8S rRNA) is a component of the large subunit of the eukaryotic ribosome. It is transcribed by RNA polymerase I as part of the 45S precursor that also contains 18S and 28S rRNA. The record is from RNAcentral. Lineage: Eukaryota; Viridiplantae; Streptophyta; Magnoliopsida; Malpighiales; Clusiaceae.
AAAACGAUUCUCGGCAACGGAUAUCUCGGCUCUCGCAUCGAUGAAGAACGUAGCGAAAUGCGAUACUUGGUGUGAAUUGCAGAAUCCCGUGAACCAUCGAGUCUUUGAACGCAAGUUGCGCCCAAAGCCUUUUGGUUGAGGGCACGUCUGCCUGGG